ACUUCCCGAACCUUAGGUAGAAACCCAAGGGUACACACCAAAAAACCUUGCGCCCACUUCUCUCUCUCCUUUUUCUCUCCUCUCGGUAAAUUUUGAAUAGUUCAAAAUUUUUUCAGAACCUCCCCAUGCCCCUUAUCUCUUUUUUUUUCUUUUUUUGUGCAUGGAGACUUUCAUGAGAAACCAUUUCUCGUGUGGAAUAUGGGGCGCACAAAAGAGGAUAAGCUGGCGCAUGGUUAUUUGGUUAUCCAUUCAAAUUCAAAAUCCCUUUGAAUUUGGAUGGAUAACAAACCAAGUUAAUCCAAAUAAUUGGCGCACAGAAACAUGGGCGUGAGAGAGCUUUGCGUGGGAGAAAAUUCACGAGAAAAUUUCUUCUCGUGAAUUCAAAUGGGCGCAAGGAAGUU
RNAcentral lists this long non-coding RNA (401 nucleotides) under Elaeis guineensis (African oil palm). RNAcentral describes it as "long non-coding RNA (EGUI_LNC042399)". Lineage: Eukaryota; Viridiplantae; Streptophyta; Magnoliopsida; Arecales; Arecaceae. The record is from RNAcentral.